This 253-nucleotide ribosomal RNA is filed under the name uncultured bacterium. Its description in RNAcentral is "partial 16S ribosomal RNA". It matches the Rfam family "Bacterial small subunit ribosomal RNA", at positions 524 to 776 of the family's 1533-position model. The record is from RNAcentral.
AACGUAGGACACAAGCGUUAUCCGGAAUUACUGGGCGUAAAGCGUGCGUAGGCGGUGAGUUAAGUCUGUCGUGAAAGCCCCGGGCUCAACCUGGGAAUGGCGAUGGAUACUGGCUCGCUAGAGUGCGGUAGAGGAGAGUGGAAUUCCCGGUGUAGCAGUGAAAUGCGUAGAGAUCGGGAGGAACAUCAGUUGCGAAGGCGGCUCUCUGGACCAGCACUGACACUGAGGCACGAAAGCGUGGGGAGCAAACAGG